GACGAACGCUGCGGGGCUGCCUAACACAUGCAAGUCAACGGGGUUGUCCUUCGGGGGACAACUUAGUGGCGAACGGGUGAGUAACGCGUGAGCAACCUGCCUUUCAGAGGGGGGACAACGAGUUGGAAACGACUGCUAAUACCGCAUAACACAUCGAGGGGGGCAUCCUCUUGAUGUCAAAGAUUUAUCGCUGAAAGAUGGGCUCGCGUCUGAUUAGAUAGUUGGUGAGGUAACGGCUCACCAAGUCGACGAUCAGUAGCCGGACUGAGAGGUUGAACGGCCACAUUGGAACUGAGAUACGGUCCAGACUCCUACGGGAGGCAGCAGUGGGGAAUAUUGGGCAAUGGGCGAAAGCCUGACCCAGCGACGCCGCGUGAGGGAAGAAGGUCUUCGGAUUGUAAACCUUUGUUGAUAGGGAUGAACAGAUGACGGUACCUAUCGAGGAAGCCACGGCUAACUACGUG
Molecule: ribosomal RNA, 464 nt
Filed under: uncultured bacterium
Lineage: Bacteria
Description: bacterial SSU rRNA
Rfam family: Bacterial small subunit ribosomal RNA
Source: RNAcentral